GACAGAGGAGCCAAGCGUUGUCCGGAUUGACUGGGCGUAAAGCGCACGCAGGCGGUCGCGCGCGUGGGGUGUGAAAUCUGGCCGCUUAACGGCCAGGCGCCAUCCCAUACGGCGCGACUGGAGUGAUGCAGAGGUCGAUGGAAUUGCCGGUGUAGUGGUGAAAUGCGUAGAUAUCUGGAGGAACACCGGUGGCGAAGGCGGCAUCCUGGACCGGCAUUGACGCUGAGGAGCGAAAGCCAGGGGAGCAAACGGG
RNAcentral lists this ribosomal RNA (253 nucleotides) under uncultured bacterium. RNAcentral describes it as "partial 16S ribosomal RNA". It matches the Rfam family "Bacterial small subunit ribosomal RNA", at positions 524 to 776 of the family's 1533-position model. The record is from RNAcentral.